UACGGAGGGUGCAAGCGUUAAUCGGAAUUACUGGGCGUAAAGCGCACGUAGGUGGCGACGUAAGUCGGGUGUGAAAGCCCCGGGCUCAACCUGGGAAUUGCAUUCGAGACUGCAUUGCUGGAGUACGGAAGAGGAGGGCGGAAUUCCCGGUGUAGCGGUGAAAUUCGUAGAUAUUGGGAAGAACACCGGUGGCGAAGACGGCGCUCUGGACCGAGACUGACGCUGAGGCGCGAAAGCGUGGGGAGCAAACAGG
Molecule: ribosomal RNA, 253 nt
Filed under: uncultured bacterium
Lineage: Bacteria
Description: partial 16S ribosomal RNA
Rfam family: Bacterial small subunit ribosomal RNA
Source: RNAcentral